CAAAAUUCUAUGCUAACUUAACAUGGCAUUUUAAAUUUGAAGUGAAAAGACUGUUUCUAGAAGGUGAAACAUGUUCUUUUAUGAAAAAACAUGAAAAAAGGACACCUGAAAUGAAAACAAUAUUUAAAUUGAGUUCAUGUGGUUUUAUGGAAAAGUACCAUGAAUUUGCCUACCUUUGUUUCUGCUAAAUCUAACCUCUUAGAAAGCUAUAAAAUCUGUAUGCUCAAAGAGCUUCGCUGUGUGCAUUUAUGAGAACCUAGUCAUUAACCCGCAGAAUAGUGAAUCAGCCAAUAGUGUUUGCAGUCCUUCAGUAUUUUUAUAAUUGGUGUUUUGGUUAAGAUUCUUUCAUUUAUAAGAAAAGAAACUGACUUUAGCUCAUCUCAGUGAAAUAAGGGAGUGUGUGAAAAGGGCUGCUCACAAAAUCAAAGGAAGAGCAGUGUACAUAGUCUUUGGAGAGGACAGAAAUGGGAGCAGAUCCAGGGAAAUCAUCAGGGCUGGCUGCUCACAAAUCCUCUCUGUAAGACACUCACAUUGGAUGACUCAGCUCUCAGAAACUUGCAUUUCUGACAAACCUCAAGUCAUUUUCAAAUGCCUGUGGGGGGAAUAUCCUGUUGGCCCAGGUGGACUUAGAAUUUCUGCUUUUGGAUUAAUAGCCAAUGCAAAGGAUACGGGGGAAGCAUAAAAGGAAGAGUGAUACUGACAGGGCCACUCAGAGAAUCAUGUACUGAGUAGCAGCCUGAUUUGGGAAUGCUAUUUUUGAUGAGCUCAUAAUCAGUUUCAAGAUGAAUUUAGUAAUAAACAGAACUUUAGUUUUUCCCAUAUUUUUAUCUUUAUAAAUUAAUAAUUUUAACACUUUAUUAAAUACCUACAGUGUACCAGGAAGAAGACGACACUCCAGAUAUAAAAAAAUAAGCUCUAGCUCAAGUCAAAAAUGCAGAUGUGUAACUAAAGUGAUUCGCAACGUAGCAGAUGUAAUGCAGGCUUGCACCUAUUUAGGUAGUUAUUAGAAGCAUUGAAGAAAAGCAUCAAUCUACAUAGACCUGAUGAUAUCAGGGAAAACUUUAUAGAGGAAAGAAUCUUUGGGUUGAGUUUCAAAGGAUAAGUGGGAAUUUGCUAUGAAACGAGAGGAGAGAAAAACUGUAGAAAAACUGUAUUUCAAAGCAUCCCGCAUCUACAAAGAGCAUGGCUCAGGUGGGAGCUGCAAAUGGUUCAGUGUUUUUGGAAGUUUGGAAUCUGAAGACGUUACUGAAAAUGAGUCUGGAGAGAGAAGCAGUACCUGAAAUUUCUGUUAUGCACAUUAAGACAUUGGACAAUGGAGAGUCAUUAAAAGAUUUUUUAUUUGGAAAAGUAUCAUGAUUGGAGUUGGUUUUAGGAAGGCAACUUUGGCCAGGCAUAGUGGUUCAUGUCUAUAAUCCAGCACUUUAGGAGGCUGAAGCAUGUGGAUCUCUUGAGCCUAGGAGUUUGAGACCAGCCUGGGCAAGGUGGCAAAAUCUUGUCUACAAAGCAUAAAAAUUAUCCAUGCAUUGUGGUGCAUGCCUGUAAUCCCAGCUACUCUGGCAGCUGAAGUGGGAAGAUCACCUGAACCCAGGGGAUUGAAUCUGAAGUGAGCCAUGAUCUCACUAUUGCACUCCAGUCUGGGCAACAGAAUGAGACCCUGACAAAAGAAAAAAAAAUAUAGACAACUUUGGCAGCAAUGUGGAAAAGAAUUUAAAUAAGAGAAGACCAGUAUAAGACUGCUGCAAUAGACCAUUUAGGGAGGUCGAGAGAAAUUCAGUCUUCUUUCUCAGGCAGCAGUUAAGAUAGGGGGGUCACUAACUGAUGUAAGCAACUUAAGGAAUGUUAAAAAGUUAAAAUCAUUCAGAGGCUAAGGCAUACUUGGGUCUGCAGUCGGAAGAGGAGGGAAAGACUAGAAACUUGUAUUUCUGAGUCAACAACAUAAUAUAGCAAUUUUAAGUGUGAGUAUUGAUGAGGUUUCACAUAUAAAAUAUUAGAAUAUUCAGAGAUCACCAGACAGAACCCUGGAGACAAGGGAUGGAUCAAGGAAAAUAAGUCUGAGUUAGAAAAUCUAAAAUAGUAGGAAGAAGGCCAGUAGGGAGCAGAGUUACAGAGAGUAAACAGAGGAAAGGGAAGGGAGUUUCAAGAAAAAAGUAUGUAUCUGUUAGGAUUAUACUUAGUUGCAGGUUACAGUCCUUUCUCACAUAGACUAGAUGUAUAGUUAGGCAGCCUACACUAGUGUGGGGCCUCUAUUAUCAUCCAGUUCUUUCUACAUUCUACUCUGCAUCUUAAUCGUCCAAGAUGGUUGCUCAAGAUUCAUCCCAGAAGGAAAAAGGACAGGCCGAAGAAGAGUGCAUCACUACCUUGAAAGACACUUACUCUACAUUUUAUACAACAUUUCUAAUUCCAAUCCAUUGGCAGAAUUUAGCCACAUGGCCAUAUCUGACUUCAAAGGAGGCUGGGAAAAAUAAAUCUUAUUCUAGACAGCCAUAAUUCCAGGUGAGCAAUGGGUUCCAUUUAAUAAGAAAAAAGGGGAAAAAGGAUCCUGGGAAGCAAUUGGAAGCCUUUGUCACAUAGGAGUUAGUGAACAAUGACAUAAAUUGAAGAGAGUUGUUGUAAGAAAAAGACUGAAGAGUGUUUAUUGCACUAACUAGUGACAAUCUUGGCAAAAGUAGUUUCUUGGAGUAGUGAGAAUGUAGGUCAAACUGCAGUAGAUGAAGAAUUGACUUUAAGAUAAAGAAAAUGAAUAUGAGUUGAAAAUAAGCUGGGCUGCGAAAAGGAAGGUGAGAAGGAAGACUGUAGUUAGCUCAGCACCUUCAUGAGAAUAGAGCUCAUGGAUAAGACUUUGAUGGGCCAUGUGCAAACUGAAGCAGAGGAAACCAGUCAUCAUGAAGUUGAGAAUGGAGCAACCUGCUUCUCCUGGAAACUUCUUCCAAUGUCCUCCCAAAGCAGUUCCACCAACAUGGGAUAGAAGAAUGAGAGAUAUCAUAUUUCUUGUUUUUGUUUUUGUUUUGAGAUGGAGUCUUGCUCUGUUGCCCAGGCUGAAGUGAAGUGGCACAAUCUCAGCUCACUGCAACCUCUGCCUCCCAGGUUCAAGCAAUUCUCCUAUCUCAGCCUCCUGAGUAGCUGGGACUACAGGUGCCUGCCAUCACGCUGGGAUAAUGUUUGUAUUUUUUAGUAGAGAGAGACGGGGUUUUACCAUGUUGGCCAGGCUGGUCUCGAGCUCCUGAUCUCAAGUGAUCCACCUGCCUCACCCUCCCAAAGGGCUGGGAUUACAGGCGUGAGCCACUGCGCCCAGUCAAGAUAUAUCAUGUUUCUUAUAUGAUCCAUUUCCUUGUCAGAAUUAAUUGGUAGUUAAUCUAAUCCAAAUUGGUCUAAAGAAUCCAUACCAGUGAACCACCUGAAUGAAUGAGGAGUGGCUAAUGUACUCAAAUGAGCCAGUUUCCCCACCAUGGGAUUUUUAGAUUUUAUACUGGAGAAAUACCAAAUCAAUUUCAUUUCAGUGAUUGAAACUAUAAACUGUAAAAUUCGUUGGCAAUCAUGUUUUCCAUCAUGUUUUGAAAAGCAACCUGCAAUGAGGAAGACAAAUAAAAAUAUAGAGAAAUGCGAAGAUGAAAGACUAACAGAAAGAAAAAUGAGUGCUAGCACCAUUUCGAUCCUUACUUACUUCCGAUUGUUCCUGAGACCCAGAAACAUUAUUUCUCUCAAGAUCUGAGAUAAUCAGUAUUUCUAUAAGAAAAUUUCUCUUUCUGCUUAAAUAAAUUGUAGCUGAGUUUCUGUCAUUUACCAUUAAAAAUGUCUGAUUAAAACUGAGAGGAACAUGUUUAUAUGUUUAGAAAAAAGUCAGAAGAAAGGUUGAAGAUACAAAAAGACUGAGAAUUUGAGAGUAUGUAUAUCCAAGAUAGCAAUCUUGUUUCUGCUUCCCUCUGAGGUAACAGUCCCUGCCCCAAAUCACUAUUCUCUUUAUGACCUCAAUCCCUAGACAUAGCUGUUUGAAUCAUGAGAGGGCACCUGCCUUCCUUCUACAUCCUAGAUGAACUGGUCUGAGCACGUUCUUCUGUGAGGUUUAUAAUUGAGAUGUGUGGACACUAAGCUCAUAAAGAAUCAGGGCUAAGACUAUGAUGGGUCAUAUGCAAGCUGAUGCUGAGGAAGCCCACCAUAAGAACGGAGAAUGGAGCAUUCUGCAGAGAGCAGAGGAACUUGAGAGUUCAUUAGAGAGAAGACUCCUACUGUUUAGAGAACAGAGAUUUCAAGGAAGGAUUAAGGCUGGCAUCCUGAUAGCAAAGGUGGAGACAAAGGAAAGCAUUCCAGAUAACUUUCAAAAGAAACUCAAACAUUCGGAAAUCAUUUUCACUACCAAGAAAGGAAGUUAAGAAAAAUAGUUAUUUCCAAGGUCUCCAGAAUCUGAAGCUCUGCUCCUGAGUUUAUAAAAUGUGGAUGACGUCUAUGAAACUAAGCUCGGGAAGUAUUUUGUCACAUAUUGUGUUGAAAGCUCAUAGGAAGAGGAAAGUUGGGCAGUUGUCUAAGUAUAGCGGAGGUUUAUGUGAAGGGAAUGUUGAACCAUGAGGCUCACAUAAGGCAACUGUCUUAAGAAUAAAUAAGUAGUAUGCUAUAAAUAGAUUAUCUACCAUGCUAAAUUAAAUAUGUUAUUGGCUUCUCCAAAUAAACAGACCCAUGGAUGUGUAUAUGGAGAAAGAGAGAGAGGGACAGAGAGAGAGAGAGUGUGAGAGAAUUUAUUUUUAAGAAAUUGGCUUGGCUCACGGAAUCAUGGAGGCUGGAGGCUGGCAAGUCCAAAAUCUGUAGUGUGGCCUGGUGGCCUGACAGGCUAGAGACCCAUGGAAGAGCUGAUGUCGCAAUUCAAGUCUGAAGACCAUCUGCUGACAGAAUUGCCUCUUGGGGAAGUCAGUCUUUGUUCUAGCAAGCACUUCAACUUAUUGGAUGAGGCCCACUCACAAUAGGAAGGCAACGUGCUUUACUCGAAAUCCAACUAUUUAAAUGUUAAUCUCAUCCAAAAAACACCCUUGCAGAAACAUCCAGAAUAAUGUGUGAUCAAAUGUCUGGGCCCCACGACCCAGCCAAGUUGACACAUAAGAUUAACCAUCAUACCAGGGGAUAGUUCCUCAAACUUGACAAGUCCUUCAACAUCUGUGGAUGCCACCUCUGAGGGAUAAAGGGAGGCAGAGAACAGAGCUGGCUAACAAAGGUCACUGGACAUCUUCCCACAUUCCCACUUUCUGAAGACAUCUCUAAACCAGAUCUUUUAAAAUUCUAAGCUAUGCAGAUGAAUUUUUAAAAUUGAAUAAUACUGGAUGAGUGUGACUCCUGGGAUGCUAUCCACUCAACCAUCUACUACACAAAGUUUAUACACAACUACAUCAUUCCCAGUAGGUCACACUUAUUAAUAAAUCAAGUGAAGACACAGUAAUGCUGUUCUUCUAAGACAUGUCCACAUUUUUCUUAAUGGCACUCAAAGAAAAUUAACCUAAAGAUUCACGCUUCUUAUUUUUUUGAGACAGAGUCUCACUCUGUCAACCAGGCUGGAGUGCAGUGGCACGAUCUCAGUUCACUGCAACCUCCACCUCCCGAGUUCAAACGAUUAUCCUGCCUCAGCCUCCCAAGUAGCUGUGAUUACAGGUGCACACCACCACACCCAGCUCAUUUUGUAUUUUUGGUAGAGACGGGUUUUCAUCAUGUUGGCCAGGCUGGCCUCGAACUCCUAACCUCAAGUAAUCCACCUGUCUCAGCCUUCUAAAGUGCUGGGAUUACAGGCAUGAGCUACCUCACCCAGCCCCAUGCUUCUAAAAUAGUUAUUAGCUUGAAAAAAAAUGGGGCCAGGCACAGCGGCCCAUGCCUGUAAUCCCAACACUUUGGGAGCCCGAGGUGGGCGAAUCACAAGUUCAGGAGUUUGAGACCAGCCUAGCCAAUAUGGUGAAACUCAGUCUCUGCCAAAAAUACAAAAAUCAGCUGGGUAUAGUGGCAGG
This 5975-nucleotide long non-coding RNA is filed under the name Homo sapiens (human). RNAcentral describes it as "HSALNT0139830". Lineage: Eukaryota; Metazoa; Chordata; Mammalia; Primates; Hominidae. The record is from RNAcentral.